UCUUAGGAGACUCCCGGGGUCAACUCGGAGGAAGGUGGGGAUGACGUCAAAUCAUCAUGCCCCUUAUGUCUUGGGCUUCACGCAUGUUACAAUGGCCGGUACAAAGGGCUGCGAUACCGUAAGGUGGAGCGAAUCCCAAAAAGCCGGUCUCAGUUCGGAUUGAGGUCUGCAACUCGACCUCAUGAAGUCGGAGUCGUUAGUAAUCGCAGAUCAGCAACGCUGCGGUGAAUACGUUCCCGGGCCUUGUACACACCGCCCGUCAAGUCAUGAAAGUCGGUAACACCCGAAGCCGGUGGCCUAAC
Molecule: ribosomal RNA, 302 nt
Filed under: Curtobacterium sp.
Lineage: Bacteria; Bacillati; Actinomycetota; Actinomycetes; Micrococcales; Microbacteriaceae
Description: bacterial SSU rRNA
Rfam family: Bacterial small subunit ribosomal RNA
Source: RNAcentral